Non-coding RNA from Callithrix jacchus (white-tufted-ear marmoset), 6843 nucleotides. Lineage: Eukaryota; Metazoa; Chordata; Mammalia; Primates; Cebidae. The record is from RefSeq and is a predicted model, not a curated record.
GGUUAAUUAUACAAAUAGGCUGAAACUAAAAUUGUCUUAACUGUUCCAUCACCAUACAUAAGUUGAGGAAGUUACCACCUUAGACUCUCAAGUCUAAAUCAAUUAUUCAAUUACAUAUCCUAGAUUGAAGUUAGAAGGCUAUCCCUCUAUUAGGACAAAUUAUUUUAUAAAAUUACUUCAAAUAUCAUAUAUGCACAUAUUCCUUUUAACAUAAAAAUAUUAGUACUAUGGCUCCAAUUCUCUUAAGUAUUUCUAUACUUACCUCAAAACCUUCUGGAAUGGAAAAAUGAUUAUCCACCUGAAUAAGAUAAUUACUAUCUCACUUAACUGUGGUUGCCAACUCAGUAUGAAAAACAAUCUCGGCCCCAAUUAAUUACAAAUGUUUUUGGUGUGGACACUGCAUUGUUGUCAAGCCCCCUAUUGGAUUGAAUGAACCCUAUUUUUAAAAUGCUAUUUAAUAGUUGCUGGGUCAUGGGCUUUAAGAUUUAAAACAGGGUAGGUUUAGCAGGUCAUGGAUCUCAAAUUCAUGGAUAUAAAAAAUAGGCACAUUUGUUGAGAAGCAUUAAGUUUACCUGCCCCCGUGGCUCCCUUGUGGGGAAUACCUUUUAGUUUGCAAUUAGUGGUAGUUGGGUAACAGCUGUCUACUUGGUAUGUUUUUGAGUUAUGAGUAAAUACAGAACACCUGUUUAUUAAUAAGAAUCACAUGUUUAAGAGAGACUAUCUGGAUGAAAAUCUGCUCCCGGACCUUCAGCCUAGAAUGCUGUGAGCCCAUGAGGCUCUUAGCUUGGAAGCCUGCUGGGCCCCUGGAUAGCCCCACUUUUCUGUUCUAUAUGGGUGUCUGCCUCUCAUUGCCUUCAGCGCCACCUGGAUGGGGGUCACCCAGCCAAGCUGGUACUCAGUAAGUGUUCCCCAAGUGUGGGGACUUGAACCCAGGACAAAGAGUUGCCUGAGCAAUGGAGAGAGGAGAGGCUAAGCUGAAGGUAUCCCAAGUACUCUUGGAAGAAAUACCUGGGGUAAGUUGGGGAGCUCGGAAGGAGUCCAGGAACUUUUGAAAGAGUCUCCCAGGUGAGUUAGGGAGAGCCCAGAAGUAGACCGAGAACCCUUGAAAAAAUCUCCCAGGGUUAGUUGGGGGAGUCCAGAAUUAGCCCAAGAACUCUUGAAAAAAAUCUUGCAGGUUUAAUUGGGGGAGCUUGGAAUUAGCCCAAGAACUCUUGUUAAAAUAUCCCAGGGUGAGCUGGGGGAGCUUGGUGAUAUUAGGGUAACAGGGGACAAAGAUCACGCAAACGCAGGGCUUAUUUGGUGUGGUCUGCCCUGGAGCUGUUUCAGACAGACAAGGAAGAAGAUGAUUCAGGAGAGAAGGAGUAUGAUGAAGUAUGUUGAGAAAUUAUAGAGCAAAAGGAUGAGAAGUCAAACGAGGAAAGGGUGUGUCUGUCAGCCUCCCCUCCCCGAAGCCUUAAUAUCUUGUUGAGGGAUGGCCAGAUCCUCCUGAUAUUUCUACCACUGCUUCUAUUGGCCUGUUUAUUCCCAGAACUAUGGUAACCAGUUCAGGCACUUGUACUUCCAGAACUAUGGUAACCUGUUCCAUCCAAGCUGGAAUUCAACAAGCGAGAAAAGAGGGAGAUUUCAAGUCAUGGCAAUUUCCAGUUGUUGUACACCCUGAAGAUCGGCAGGGGCAAGUACAGGUUGCUUUUGAACCCUUCCCUUUAAAUUGCUGAAGCAGUUUAAACAAGCCAUUACCCAAUACAGGCCUGGGUCUCUGUUUGUGCUAGGAUUACUGAAGAACACAGCUACUUCUUAGGGGCUGAUUCCAAUAGACUGGGAUAUGUUAACCCUAACGUGUUUAUUGCCUUCUCAAUUUUUUCAGUUCAGGACCUGGUGGGUUGAUGAGGCUAAUAUUCAAGCUAGUAUAAAAACAUAUCCUUUUUAUAUUACACAUAUUAGGGCUGAUGCCACUCUCUCAGGGCCUCUCACUGCAGGCAAUCAAUCUACAGAUCGGUUGGUUGCUACAGUUAUAUCUGAUGCUCAAUAUUUCCACAUAUUGACACACUUAAAUGCAGCAGGGCUGCAGAAAAAAUAUAGCUUAACUUGGAGAGAAACCAGAAGGAUUAUUCAGAUUUGUCCAACUUGUCAGUUGGUCAAUUCUCCUCCCAAAUCGGGGGGUGUAAACACCCAGGGGUUAGAACCAAAUACUUUGGCAAAUGGACAUUACUCACAUCUCAUCUUUUGGGAAAUUAGGAUAUGUACAUGUUUGUGUGGAUACUGUUUCACACUUUGGGCUACAUGUCAGACUGGGGAAUCAUCCGCUUGUGUCAAAAGACAUCUUAUACAAUGUUUUGCUGUUAUGGGUAUUCCAUCCUCCAUAAAAACUGAUAAUGCCCCAGGAUAUAUUAAUCUUUAACAGAAUUUUUUACACGAUGGAAGAUCACACAUAUAACAGGUAUUCCACAUAACUCUCAAAGGCAGGCCAUUGUGGAGUGAAUGAAUCUUUCCCUUAAACAGCAGCUACGGAAACAAGGAGGGACAAGGAAUAUCAAACCCCACAAAUGCAGUUAAACCUGAAAUUGCUGGCUUUGAAUUUUUCGAGUUUGCCAAGAGGAGGACAAUUAACAGCAGAUGAACAACACCUGAAUAAAGCAAGGAAGAAACUUCUGCAGGUGCGGAUCCAGAAUCCUCUAAGAAACAGUUCACCAAGAUAGAGCUGUACUUGCUUACCUAGCGUUGUUGAAACAAAGAAGGGGGAAGAUGUUGAGAAACAUUAAGUUUGCCCUGCCCCGUGGCUCCCUUGUGGAGAAUACCUUUUAGUUUGCAAUUAGUGACACAUCAAAACCUCUCAGAUGAGCCACCUAGGAAGACAAACAGGAAGAAAAUGAGGAUAUCAAAAUUGUAACACCUCUCAAGAAUGACUGUGGGGGAAAAGAGGGAUGCAAGUAGUUAAUACUGAAAAAUGAAAGCCACAGGCUGAGAACUAGUCAAUGUGUCAUUAAGCACUACAAGGGAAGAGAAUAGACUAACAAGCUGUCAGAAGUACUUGGGCCUGCUGGGCAGAUGCAUUCUUCUGGCGAAGACCGCUAAGUCUGGCUUGCAUCAUUCCCCAUUCUCUGAUUUCAUCUUCCUUGAGCAUCCUUCAGAUUUGUAUUCCUCAAAGAACGUAAACAUGUUUCAGUGUUGACUAUGUUUUACGUAUAGUAUUUAAUUUUACAGCAAUCCCAGGAGUUGUUCCCCCUAUUUUACAGCUGAGAAAAAAUAGCCAUUUUUUCUUUGCUUUUUUUUUUUCUUUCUUUGAAAUAGGGGUUCACUCUGUCACCCAAACUGGAAUGCAGUGGCAUGAACAGGGCUCUCUGCAGCCUUGACUUCCCAGAAUUGUCUGAUCCUCUCACCUCAGCCUCCCAAGUAGCUGGGACUACAGGCACUUACCACCAUGCCCAGAUAAUUUUUUUUUUUUAAUUUCUGUAGAGACAGAGUUUCACUAUGUACUCAGGAUGGUCUUAAACUCCUAGGCUCAAGCAAUCCUCCUGUCUCAGCAUACCAAAGUCCUGGGAUUUACAGGCAUGAGUCAAGGCAUCUGGCCAUAGCUAGUCAUUUCUGCCAGGAGCUGCCACUCUGGCCUUCAAAUAUCCACAACACUUCUCUUCCCACACAUACAAAACACCACAUCUUUAUCUAAGUGAAGGAUCUCCAUUUGAUGCUUGUUGCCACCAUCAUAUUUAAAUGUAGAUCCACAUAGUAUAGCAACCUAGGAAGCAGAAGUCAACAUAUCUACCCACUCAUGACACACCUGUUAAAUAAAGUGUAGCCUAGAGCUGCCUCCUAACAUACUUGAAGUUCAGCCUAAAGGUUUCUCUGUAUAUAGUGAAUGGUAAUCUAGUUGGAUGUGUAAACAGACUAUAAUCUAUUCUUAAAUCAAUCACCAUAUUUUAGCCAAUCAAAGGCAACCAACUGUUUAUACUAUAUUCAAAUGAGACAAACACCCAGCUGUAAGCAAUCCAGCUGUUUCUGUAUCUCACUUCCGUUUUCUGUAUGUCAUUUUCUUUUUUCUGUCCAUGAAUCCUCUCCAACCACACAGCAGUGCCAGCAGUGUAUCUAUUCUGGUUUAGGGGAACUACCCGAUUUGCAAAUGGUUCUUUGCUCAAUUAAACCACAGAGUGUGUUAAGUUUUUCUUUUAACACAACCAGUAUGCACUGAUGGAUCAGGGGCAAAGUAAAGAUAACAAAAGUAAGCUUCCCAUUUGGAAAGAGACUGAUGGGAAGCUCAGCAGUCCUGGUCUACAGAAGUGAUGAAAUGUUGCAAAGCAGGCAUGGUGAAGACCUCCUAGUCACAUGGCUACAUUGAUUUGUUCAAUCUUAAAAUUGGAUAAACCUUCCACUCCUCCACAUUGUGUAAAGCAAGUUAGUAGGCUGAUCAGCUGAUUUUUAUUGUGUUAUUAAAUAUCUGGCUUUCUAAAUAGAUUACAAGCCUUGUACAAAAUUUCUUAUUCACCACUGUAUCCCAAGUGAUUAACAAAGUGUCUGGCACAUAGGUUAUAUUCAAUAAAUAUUUGUUGAAUGAAUAACAUAACCGUUAUAGUCCACUUGGCCAUUAAAUUUUUCAGUGUAAAUUAGAAAACAGAAAUUUUGAGUUACAUAUCAGUCUUCACUGAAUUUGCUCAGGAUGAAUCAUUCCUCUGGAAGCAGGGUUGCUAGCCUGACUGAGUUUUUUAACUUACAGAGUUAAGAUCUAGUAUAUUGGACAGCCGAUGCCUUGUUUUUUUUUAAAAUAAUGCCUAUAUCAGCAAAAUGCAUACAAUCAUAGGGUUUUGUUGUAUGUUUAUUUGCUUUUCUUGAGAAGCAGAGAAUUGUACACUAGAUUAAUCAUCUAAUUAUGUUUCUUGGCUUGUUGCACACUUUCAACAUCACUGGUCGAAGCCCUUUUUUAUUUUAUGGAUUUAAUGAUAUGAAUAACACCGUACAUUUAUCACCCGACCUGAUGUCUGCUAUGGGCUCCUCUUCUGUUCUGCCCCUAACUUCUCCUCAUCUUGUAGCUUGGAAGUAACCACUAGUCUCCAUUUUGCUUUUCUGUGCCUUAUUUUUCAGUGUUUUCACAUACACGUAUAUUACAUACAUAAUAUUACUAAGAUUCACUCAUGGCGUUGUGUGUAGUUUUAUCUCAUUGAUUUUCCCUUAAGUACAAUGCUCCGCUGUGAAACCCACUAUCAGUUUUCCUGUGUAUGGUCAUUUGGGCUGUUGUCAGUUUUUGGCAGUUGUGAACAGGAAGCUGUGAACAUGCUUGAUAAAUGGAAAAAGUUUCUAGCAGUGGAAAUGCUGAGUCAUAGGUCAUAGAUAAUUCAACUUUAUAAAAUAAUUCAAAUAAUUUUCCGAAGUGGUUAUACCAAUGUAUACUCCCUGCAGUGAUAUACAAGGUCCCACUGGUAUUAUCUAACUUCUUGUUUUCCUUUAAAUUAUAUUUCGAUUUGCCUGACAAUGCCAAUUCUCUAUGAAAAUGCCAAAAUAUAUUUUGAAUGUACUUAUCACAUGAUUUUAGAAUGACCAAAAAAAAGACUGUAAUGCCAAACAAUUUGUAUUUUGGGCUUACAAUAAUGAAUUUUACAUUCAUGUAUGAAUAUAUGUAACAUUGUUUUAAAAUGAGUAACAUUGAUACAGUUAGAAGAAUUUUAUUACUAUGUAAUUUCUUCCCUUUCUAAUUUUUUAUUCCUUAGGGUGGACUAGAGCCUCUAGCAACCCACUAGUCUCUUCCACACUCAUACAAUACUCUGUACAUACCUUUAUCUUAACACUUAGAGCAGAAACUAUUUGCCUUCCUGUAUUAGUCCAUUUUCAUGCUGCUGAUAAAGACAUACCUGUGACUAGGUAAUGAAUAAAGAAAAAGAGGUUUAAUGGGCUCACAGUUCCACAUCGCUGGGGAGACCUCACAAUUAUGACAGAAGGUAAAAGGCACAUCUUACAUGGCAGCAGAGAGAGAAAAUGAGAAAAGGGAAGCCCCUUAUAAAACAAUCAGAUCUCAUGCCUUAUUUGCUACCAUGAGAAAAAUGUGGGGGAAACCGUCCCCAUGAUUCAAUUAUCUCCUUCCACAACACAUGGGAAUUAUGAAUUUCGGGAGCUAAAAUUCAAGAUGAGAUUUUGGUGGGGACACAGCCAAAUCAUAUCACCUCCAAUAUCUGUUCUUUCUUUCUUAUAGUUAUGGAACUUUUAUGUAGGCACAGAGUUGCUAAGGUAAAACUGCCAGCUUUCCUUGUAGGUAGUUAUGGCCAUGUUGCUAUGUCUGUCCAAUGAUAUGUAAGCAGAAGCGACAGGGAGACUUCUGGGUUAUGUCCCUAAAACAUCACUUCUACUGGAAGUUGAACAUGAAGCCAGGAGUUGGAGUAACCAUCCUGACUCUAUUAAGGAGGCUGUACCUUGAGAAUAGCAGUUACAAGACAGAAGACUAGGUCCCUGAUGUCUUCAAGUAGAGCAGCCAGCCUGGACAUAAGAAAUACAUUUGUCAUAUUAAAAUAUGCUGUAGUAGUAAACCCAAAAUGUAUAUCCUAAUACAUAAUUUAUACCUAAAAGUAAGAUGAUAUUGUAAUAAAACCUAUAACAAGAGGCAUUGGCAGUCAGGCAGCAGGUGAUGAGCAUAUUGUAGACUGUAACACUGGCAACUCUUCUGCUUGGCUCAACACUUCGUAAAACUGUCACCAUAUGAUCCCUUAAAAUUUAGACCACAUCCAUGUAGAGCCUAUAGCUCUAUGGUAGUGUUUCUAAAUAUGUGUCAUAUUUGAAUUUCCAGUAAAGCAAUUUUUCUGUGGUUCAAGAAUGCCUUGGGCAUUUGAGGAUGUUCAGUAUUUUUGCUUGUAACACGUGAAAUGCUCA